This 266-nucleotide ribosomal RNA is filed under the name Bacteroides caecigallinarum. Its description in RNAcentral is "partial 16S ribosomal RNA". It matches the Rfam family "Bacterial small subunit ribosomal RNA", at positions 70 to 332 of the family's 1533-position model. Lineage: Bacteria; Pseudomonadati; Bacteroidota; Bacteroidia; Bacteroidales; Bacteroidaceae. The record is from RNAcentral.
UGAGCUUAGCUUGCUAAGUUUGAUGGCGACCGGCGCACGGGUGAGUAACGCGUAUCCAACCUUCCGUUUACUCGGGUAUAGCCUUUCGAAAGAAAGAUUAAUCCCCGAUGGUAUGGUAAGAUUGCAUGAAAUUACCAUUAAAGAUUAAUCGGUAAAUGAUGGGGAUGCGUUCCAUUAGGUAGUAGGCGGGGUAACGGCCCACCUAGCCGACGAUGGAUAGGGGUUCUGAGAGGAAGGUCCCCCACAUUGGAACUGAGACACGGUCC